AACGCACCUUGCACCCUUUGGCAUUCCGAAGGGUAUGCUCGUUUGAGUCUCAUUGUAACCCUCACCCUCCCAAAUCUGUGAUGGAUUUGAGAGCGGUGGACUUGGGUGCUGCUGCUUUACCGCGGCUCACCUUAAAUGUGUUAGUGCAACUCUUGGUUGGACAUAGUACGGCGUGAUAAGUAUCUUCGCCGGCACCUCGCAAGAGGGUGGCCAAGUGGGAGCUCUGUGCUUUCAAACUGUCUUCGGACAAUAUCUGACAACUUGAGCUCAAAUCGAGUAGGACUACCCGCUGAACUUAA
Molecule: unclassified non-coding RNA, 299 nt
Filed under: uncultured Sebacinales
Lineage: Eukaryota; Fungi; Basidiomycota; Agaricomycetes; Sebacinales
Description: sequence contains 5.8S rRNA gene, ITS2, 28S rRNA gene
Source: RNAcentral